CAAAAAAGGAAAAAAAUUGAAAACACGGGAAUUGGUUCCAAAAUGACGAAAAGAACGUAUUUUCAACAAUUUCAAAACAGACACUCAAAAUACAAAAUCUAAAAUGAAUUUAAAACUCAAAACUAUAAAAUUGAAAUAUGAAGAGAACAACCCCCCUGGUUUCUUCCAAGAAAAUUUAUCUUACCUGGUGCUAUUGACAUUAUAUGCUAAUUAGAGCCUUUAAAAAACAGAGUUGAUUGGAAAUAAAGAGCACUCACGUUCCAUUGAAAUUGAAAACGAUGGUUUUAACUUCCCCCAAAAUAUUAACUUGGUAAAGGGAUGGAUUUCAAGCAGAAUCAAUAUCAUAAUGAAGCAGAGUGCAACCAUGAAUCUAAGAUAAGGAAGUUUGUGUUUGUUACAUGUUCAAUUUCGCUAUUUUAUCCCCUAUGCUCUGUUCUCCGUGCUUUAAUGCAUAUUGAAGAUAACUACCUUCAGUUCAAUUGAUUUUUCACCCCUAACCGGACUCAUUCGCCAAUUGAUUUCCGACCUCCACCAAUUCUCUGUCUUGUUAAUGCCUUCGAACGGCUGUCAGUUUUCAUUUUGCUACUAUAAUACACAAAAUACCUGUCAAUUCUUUAUAUAUAUAUAUAUAUAUAUAUAUAUAUAU
RNAcentral lists this long non-coding RNA (646 nucleotides) under Olea europaea (common olive). RNAcentral describes it as "long non-coding RNA (OEUR_LNC006236)". Lineage: Eukaryota; Viridiplantae; Streptophyta; Magnoliopsida; Lamiales; Oleaceae. The record is from RNAcentral.